AUUGAACGCUGGCGGAAUGCUUUACACAUGCAAGUCGAACGGCAGCGCGGGGGCAACCCUGGCGGCGAGUGGCGAACGGGUGAGUAAUGCAUCGGAACGUAUCCUGUAAUGGGGGAUAACGUAGCGAAAGUUACGCUAAUACCGCAUACGCUCGAGAGAGGAAAGUGGGGGAUCGCAAGACCUCACGUUAUAGGAGCGGCCGAUGUCCGAUUAGCUAGUUGGUGGGGUAAAGGCCUACCAAGGCGACGAUCGGUAGCUGGUCUGAGAGGAUGAUCAGCCACACUGGGACUGAGACACGGCCCAGACUCCUACGGGAGGCAGCAGUGGGGAAUUUUGGACAAUGGGCGAAAGCCUGAUCCAGCCAUGCCGCGUGCGGGAAGAAGGCC
Molecule: ribosomal RNA, 386 nt
Filed under: uncultured bacterium
Lineage: Bacteria
Description: bacterial SSU rRNA
Rfam family: Bacterial small subunit ribosomal RNA
Source: RNAcentral